GUUAAAGUGGCAGAGACCGGUAAUUGCAUAAAACUUAAGCUUUUAUAAACCAGAGGUUCAACUCCUCUCUUUAACA
Molecule: transfer RNA, 76 nt
Filed under: Myotis mystacinus (whiskered bat)
Lineage: Eukaryota; Metazoa; Chordata; Mammalia; Chiroptera; Vespertilionidae
Description: tRNA-Leu
Rfam family: tRNA
About the family: Transfer RNA (tRNA) molecules are approximately 80 nucleotides in length. Their secondary structure includes four short double-helical elements and three loops (D, anti-codon, and T loops).
Source: RNAcentral